UAUAUAUAUAUAUAUAUAUUUUAACUAGACAGUUUUGUUGCUUAAUUUUCAUAUUUCAAUGCAAUAUGGGUGUGCCUUAAGUAAAUGCUCAAUGAGUAGGUUCAUCAAGUCCCUCCCCACCACACACAAUUUGCCUAAUUGAUAGUCACGUGGUAUUUAAUGAAUUUAUUAGGAAUGACAGAGACUCUGUUAUAUUAUGGGGUUGAUUUGUUGUGUGGAUUUUUUCCUGUGGGAACAUUUUGCUGGCUGUGUUUUGGUCCACUUGUUCCCUUCUAUCCUGAUGGGCGUGGUCUCUUCCAGUAUGAUUGCGCCCCCAUCUACAGGACAUGAACUCUCACAGAGUCGGUUGAUGAGUGUGCACAUGAUCAGAGAUAUAAUAUGGUCUUCACAGUCAACAGAUCUCACCACAAUUAAACACUGAUGUAAGAUUCUUGGAACAAAGUGUUAGACAGUGCACUUAUCAUAACCACCAUCAUCAAAGUAUGACCUGAGGAAAAAUCCUUUGGAAGAAUGGUGUCCAUCUGUCCAGUACAGUACCAGAAAGGUGUAGAAUCUAAAGCAAAAGUGAAUUGAAGCUAUUCUGGUGGCUGGCUUAAACACUUUGUUGGUUUUUCCUUUAAAUUCCUUUUAUUUUAAUUCACCUAUCUGUAUCUGAAUGAACGGAUGAAUGUUAUUUUUUCAUUUGUAUCGUUAUUUGUAGUCAAUCAGUUAAAUAACUAAGUGUCUCAAUUCUGCAUUUAAAAAGGUAUUUCACUGCAUACCACUAAGAUGGUGUUUAAAAAGACAAAAGAUGUGUUUUCUUUAACAUAUUCCCAUUUCCUUUCCUAUAUCCUAAACAUUUAUUUCAUCAUUCAUUUCCUUGUUAUUGUUCUGGUUAUUUUUGUUAGUUUUUUUUAACAUCACAGAAAUGGCCAUGUUUUCAUGGAACAUCAUAGCCAAAUGGCAAAAUUGUCAACGAUUUCCUGGUAAUUAUAAAACACUACUAGACACCAGGUAGAUGGCAAAUAUCUUUUCAAAAGAAACCAGUAACUUCAUUUCAACCUUUCAUUUCAUUUUAGAGGUUUUGAUAAAACUGCUGAUAAAAUCUCAAUUAGAAAAGAACCACUGUAUUUUAAAUACUGUCUUCAUAUGAGUAUAUUCAUGCAUGAUCUUGUCUAAAAUAUAAAACUUUUCAAAUGCAUUAUUUAUUUCUAUAAAAUGACCUGUUUCAUGAAUGUGCUUUAUUAAAUCAAGAACUAUUUUAAGAC
Long non-coding RNA from Ictalurus punctatus (channel catfish), 1247 nucleotides. The record is from Ensembl. Lineage: Eukaryota; Metazoa; Chordata; Actinopteri; Siluriformes; Ictaluridae.